Molecule: ribosomal RNA, 441 nt
Filed under: uncultured bacterium
Lineage: Bacteria
Description: bacterial SSU rRNA
Rfam family: Bacterial small subunit ribosomal RNA
Source: RNAcentral
AACGCGAAGAACCUUACCAAGGUUUGACAUGGGCCGAAAACUCGUAGAGAUACGGGGUCCUUCGGGGCGGUUCACAGGUGGUGCAUGGCUGUCGUCAGCUCGUGUCGUGAGAUGUUGGGUUAAGUCCCGCAACGAGCGCAACCCUCGUCCUAUGUUGCCAGCGGGUUAUGCCGGGAACUCAUGGGAGACUGCCGGGGUCAACUCGGAGGAAGGUGGGGAUGGACGUCAAGUCCUCAUGCCCCUUAUGUCUUGGGCUGCAAACAUGCUACAAUGGCCGGUACAAAGGGUUGCGAGACCGCAAGGUGGAGCGAAUCCCAAAAAGCCGGUCUCAGUUCGGAUUGGGGUCUGCAACUCGACCCCAUGAAGUCGGAGUCGCUAGUAAUCGCGAAUCAGCAACGUCGCGGUGAAUACGUUCCCGGGCCUUGUACACACCGCUCGCGA